This 106-nucleotide ribosomal RNA is filed under the name uncultured bacterium. Its description in RNAcentral is "partial 16S ribosomal RNA". The record is from RNAcentral.
CAACGCCGCGUGGAGGGAUGAAAGUCCCCUUUGGGGACGGUAAAACUCCUUUUCGAUCGGGACGAUAAUGACGGACCGAGAGAAGAAGCCCCGGCUAACUUCGUGC